GGAGUGAGUGCUCAGUUCAAAUACUAAAAUUAGAAUGAUACAGAGAAGAUUAGCAUGAUCCUUAUACUAGAAU
Molecule: small nuclear RNA, 73 nt
Filed under: Notamacropus eugenii (tammar wallaby)
Lineage: Eukaryota; Metazoa; Chordata; Mammalia; Diprotodontia; Macropodidae
Source: RNAcentral